This 762-nucleotide ribosomal RNA is filed under the name uncultured Peptostreptococcus sp. RNAcentral describes it as "bacterial SSU rRNA". It matches the Rfam family "Bacterial small subunit ribosomal RNA", at positions 28 to 776 of the family's 1533-position model. Lineage: Bacteria; Bacillati; Bacillota; Clostridia; Peptostreptococcales; Peptostreptococcaceae. The record is from RNAcentral.
GAUGAACGCUGGCGGCGUGCCUAACACAUGCAAGUCGAGCGAGGGUUUGCUCAGUAUUGAGUAUUCUAAGUCUAGAAUGUUCAAUUCUGAGCAAAACCAAGCGGCGGACGGGUGAGUAACGCGUGGGUAACCUGCCCUAUACACAUGGAUAACAUACUGAAAAGUUUACUAAUACAUGAUAAUAUAUAUUUGCGGCAUCGCAGAUAUAUCAAAGUGUUAGCGGUAUAGGAUGGACCCGCGUCUGAUUAGCUAGUUGGUGAGAUAACUGCCCACCAAGGCGACGAUCAGUAGCCGACCUGAGAGGGUGAUCGGCCACAUUGGAACUGAGACACGGUCCAAACUCCUACGGGAGGCAGCAGUGGGGAAUAUUGCACAAUGGGCGAAAGCCUGAUGCAGCAACGCCGCGUGAACGAUGAAGGUCUUCGGAUCGUAAAGUUCUGUUGCAGGGGAAGAUAAUGACGGUACCCUGUGAGGAAGCCCCGGCUAACUACGUGCCAGCAGCCGCGGUAAUACGUAGGGGGCUAGCGUUAUCCGGAUUUACUGGGCGUAAAGGGUGCGUAGGUGGCCCUUCAAGUCGGUGGUUAAAGGCUACGGCUCAACCGUAGUAAGCCGCCGAAACUGGAGGACUUGAGUGCAGGAGAGGAAAGUGGAAUUCCCAGUGUAGCGGUGAAAUGCGUAGAUAUUGGGAGGAACACCAGUAGCGAAGGCGGCUUUCUGGACUGCAACUGACACUGAGGCACGAAAGCGUGGGUAGCAAACAGG